ACUGGCUAUGCCUUCUGGGCAUCCAAGAAGGGCAAGGAUUUCAGUUACCUUGGUCCAUUUUUGUUCACCUGCCUCUUCACUCUGAUCCUGGUCGGCAUGAUGCAGGUUCGAAUUCUUAAUUCAUCAUAUGAUAAAGCACUACUUUCUUGUCUAGUUUUCCAAAUUUCAAGAUAAGUGCACAUUAAUAUAUCUAGCAUGUUUGCAAGAUCUAUCUUGUUUAAGACUUGCUGUUUUUUCAUGCAGAUGUUCUUCCCCCUCGGCUCAACAGCAAAUGCUAUCUAUGGUGGAGUUGGUGCCAUUAUUUUCUCUGGUUUUGUUGUCUAUGACACUGAAAACCUGAUCAAGCGAUUUACCUAUGAUGAGUACAUUGGAGCCUCGGUCACUCUCUAUCUUGAUAUACUCAACCUGUUCCUGGCCAUCUUGAGGGUGCUGAGACAAGGAAAUAACUAAUUUUUCAUACUCUUGUAAAUUUGAUAUUUGAGUAAAAUCAAUGAAAAUAACUUCUUUUGCUUUUCAGUAAUACAGUAAGAAGCUGGUAUAUGAAAAUACCCUUGUCCUUUGACAGUAAUGUGUUGACAAGGAAGAUGGUUUGUUUACUAUUGGAUAAUCAAUGUGAUAUUAUUAUGUGUCUUCUAUAGAAUUGUGUUGCUGCUGCUACUUGCUUUCUGGUUGCUACAUCUUUUGACUUUUGAGUGUAUUAUUUCCAAUUAAGAGCUUUCUAAUUCGGAGUUGUAUGCUGCAUGAUCUCGGAUAUCAUUUGUUGUUCACUCUGGGAGGGUGGAAGGCUUUAUGGUUCUCCUGCUUAUGCUGGUUUUGAUGGGAUUGGUAUCAGAAGAGUAUUGGUUGUUCUUGCUCGAUUUCCAGUCAUCGUUGUGAUAAAUCAAUCCUCUUUUGGCUAUUGUAUUUGUCUUUGUUUAAAAUCAGUAUUAUUGGAUUGGAAUCUCCCAAUAACAGGCACGUUGAGUCCAUUUGAAAUUGACGAAUAUCUUGGUUGAUGGAUUUAUAAGAGGGAGGUUGUGAUGGCUAGAUAUAUCAGUUACCUAUGGUGCUAGGAGUGGAGAAGAAACUGGAGUGGUCUUGAUCUGAUUAAGAUGAUGUUUGUUUGAAUGUAUUAGAAGAGAAGGUUAUUACAAAUUUUUACCGUGAUUAAAAUGUAGUGUUGAAUGAAUUUAACAUUUUAUUUUGUUAAAAAAAAAAUAAUUCAAAAUUAAAGUAUAUUUAAUUAGUUAGUAAAAAUAAUUUACGGUUCGGAAAUCAUCUCCAAGUAUAGGGUUCUUGUUGGUUCGAAGGGGAUGAAUUCAAUAUUCUUUUGUGAUUUUCUUUCGAUAUCUUCUCUUUAAGAAUUCAUAAAUAAUUUCAUUUUAACUUCAGUUACCUUGGUCCAUUUUUGUUCAGCUGCCUCUUCACUCUGAUCGUGGUCGGCAUGAUGCAGGUUCGAGUUCUUAAUUCAUCAUAUGAUAAUGCAGUACUUUCGUAUCUAGUUUUCCAAAUUUCAAGAUUAGUGCACAUUAAUAUAUCUAGGAUGUUUGCAAGAUCUAUCUUUAUCUUGACACAUUGAACCUGUUCCUGUCUAUCUUGAGGGUGCUGAGACAAGGAAAUAACUAAAAUGUUGAUACUCUUGUAAAUUUGAUAUUUGAGUAACUCCAAAUGAAAAUAACUACUAUGCUUCUCACUAAUACAGUGUGAAGCUGGUAUGUGCAAAUACCCUUGUCCUUUGACAAUGCUGUACUGACAAGGAAGAUGGUUUGUUUACUAUUGGAUAAUCAAUGAGAUAUUGUAUGUCUUUUAUAGAGUUGUGUUGCUGCUGCUGCUUGCUUUAUGGUUGCUACAUCUUUUGAGUGUAUAAUUUCUAAUCAAGAGGUUUCUAAUAUGGAGUUGCAUGGUGCAUGAUCUCGG
RNAcentral lists this long non-coding RNA (1896 nucleotides) under Arachis ipaensis. Its description in RNAcentral is "long non-coding RNA (AIPA_LNC000204)". Lineage: Eukaryota; Viridiplantae; Streptophyta; Magnoliopsida; Fabales; Fabaceae. The record is from RNAcentral.